ACUGACGCUCAUGUACGAAGUUUAGGGUAGCAAACAGGAUUAGAGACCCUGGUAGUCCUAACUGUAAACGUUGUAUACUAGGUGGUUGGAUUAUUGAUCCUUCUGACUGCCGCAGCUAACGCAUUAAGUAUACCGCCUGGGGAGUAUGCCGGCAACGGUGAAACUCAAAGGAAUUGACGGGGGCCCGCACAAGCAGUGGAGCAUGUUGUUUAAUUCGAUGAUACGCGAGUAACCUUACCAGGUCUUGACAUAUACUCGAAUACCAUAGAAAUAUGGUAGCUCUUCGGAGCGGGUAUACAGGUGCUGCAUGGUUGUCGUCAGCUCGUGCUGUGAGGUGUUGGGUUAAGUCCCGCAACGAGCGUAACCCUUGUCCUUUGUUGCUAACAGUUCGGCUGAGCACUCUAAGGAGACUGCCGGUGACAAACCGGAGGAAGGUGGGGACGACGUCAAAUCAUCACGGCCCUUAUGACCUGGGCUACAAACGUGCUACAAUGGGUGGUACAAAGAGUCGCAAGACCGCAAGGUGGAGCUAAUCUCAAAAAACCAUCCUCAGUUCGGAUUGGAGUCUGAAACCCGACUCCAUGAAGCUGGAAUUGCUAGUAAUCGCACAUCAUUAUGGUGCGGCGAUACGUUCCCGGGCAUUGUACACACCGCCCGUCACAUCACCCGAAUUGAUUAUACCCGAAGUACCCGAGCUGACCCCUCGUUGGGAGGCAA
This 717-nucleotide ribosomal RNA is filed under the name uncultured organism. RNAcentral's name for it is "bacterial SSU rRNA". It matches the Rfam family "Bacterial small subunit ribosomal RNA", at positions 739 to 1452 of the family's 1533-position model. The record is from RNAcentral.